Long non-coding RNA from Oncorhynchus tshawytscha (Chinook salmon), 7344 nucleotides. NCBI's taxonomy places the organism in Eukaryota, Metazoa, Chordata, Actinopteri, Salmoniformes, Salmonidae. The record is from Ensembl.
CUCACUGACACACACUCACAGACGCAACACGCCACAGGCAGGCUACCAGACAGACUGGCAGACAGGUAGGCAGCAGUCAGGCAACAUGACCCAAACAGGGAACAGCCUCAGCUCUGUGACCUGUGACAACAGAUGCCAACCACAGAACUGAACACUGAAGUUUACUUUGAGAGCCUCAGGGGAGCUGGAGUAAGCAGAAAAUAAGACAAAUAACAAGACGGGAUGAGGAGUGCUUGACUGCUGUUGUUGAGGCUGAGGAGGAGGGAGUAUUUUACUAACUUUUUCUGCACUUUCUGAACCUGUGGAAUUCCAUUCAUGAGCCAGAAGACUAAAGCCAGCAUGGUAUUCAGCUGGCAGAAGUCCUUUGCCAUUCUGACCCCCUGGAGGAAAGGAAAGGGGGACAAUGUGCUGGAAAAUGAGGUUAUCCUGACCAAGAUGAAGCUCUUCAACAACUUCCAUGUGAAGCUCCUCAACAACGAUGUUGAUUCUUCAUCCACUAUCGCCAUGUCAGUUUCUGAGCAGGACAUCUCAGAGCCUGUCAAAGGCUUGGAGGGGAAUGCUGACUUGGAUAACAUGCCUGGACAGUCCCUGAUGGAGUCAAGCUCAGACUACCUGUCAAACAUUUUCUCAAACUCUCAGCUUUCCAGGCUGUACAAGUUUGAGUCAGAGGACUCUGGGGUGGAACUGCCCAGUGGAACCAACUCUCCCUCCACACCCACCGGCUCGGAGCAGAGCUUUGUGGUCCACAGCCGGGAACCCUCCUAUGACUCCUGUAACCUCAACACUCCUGUCCCUACCCCAGAACCACUCCUCACAUUUGACCAGUGCUCUGACACCAAACAAACAGAGGAUAUGAGAGACACACCAUGUAUGACUGCAGACAGUGCUGUGCAGGAGUGUGAUAUGGUGGAGUCGGGGGCUGAACUCAACACAGAAGUUGAGAGGGUAGACCUUCAUAUAACUGAGAAGGACAUAGACAUGGAGAGGGCCCAGCACACAGCCUUGAGGGACCCCACUGAGGACGGUAAAGGGGGUUCAGAGCAGCUGGGUGAAAACAAGGCUGUAACUGAGGGGGUCAACUCAGAGAACACAAAGCCCAGGAGACAGUGCUCUACAGGGGCCUGUGACGAUAUGACAGGGGUUGACUUUGAGCAGCGGCCUCUGAGGAAAGGCACGACAAGUGACAGCCUGGAGGAGUAUAUGGAGGAAUGCUGCAGACUGAGUGAGGUCCACCAAGCCAGCUCCAACCCUCUGGGCUCCGGACUGGGCUACCUGGAGCACAUCUGCCAGCUCAUCGAGAAGAUUGGUCAGCUCCAGGAGCACAACGUCAGGCUGCAGAAGCAGAUCUGUGGUCUGCAGAAGGAUGGAAAGAUGGCCAAGAACAAAGAGGACUUCUUCCUGCAGCACUGUAGCUGUGGAACGGCCGGCCUGGCCUUUCAGGAACAGAAAAGACACUCCAGGAGUGAGUUCCUGACCACAUCCAUGAGUGGCACCCUCUCUGACCUCUCCACCAUCCCUGAGGUCACACGUCACACAGGACUCACAGCCAUGAGAGAGAGUGACCAAGGUAAUAACCAGCCCCUGGUGCCCCUUUGUAGGAGGGGCCUGAAUCGGAGGAGCUACACAGAGGGAGAGACACGCUCCUCUCUCUUUGACAGUACAGAGGGUCUCUCUGCCCCACACAGACGGGUGAGUGAGAACUACACAUGGGGCAGAGUGAAGGAUCUGGUGAAGAAGACCAAGCUGAGAAACCAGACCAGACUGGGACAGACAUCCACCUCCCUGAAGAGAUCCUGUCCACAGCUCUACUGGUGAGGACCUCUCAAGAAACUCUAUACUCUAAAGUAUUUUCUAAAAAAUUCUGUAUUUCUUACUACAGUAUUUACAGUGCAGUAUUUCUUAAUAAACACACAAAGAAACAUUAUGAAUACCACAUUGGAAAUGUCCACAAAACAUAACAAUCAGGACUUGGCUUUUGUCUCAACUUGUCAGCCAUUUGAGAUUGUCUGUUCUAGCUGAAGAAACUAAAAAAAGGUCACUAAAGAUAACAGUUGGAGCUUGGUCCUUCAAAGUUGUGUGAACAUCUUGAACUGAUCAUGAUACAAGAACAGAGAGGUCAAGUUGUAAUUAAUCACAGCUCUCUUUAGUUUCAUCAUCAUUUGUGGGUGUGUGCACCAACUAACUUUUAAAUCCUUUAGUCUUUGUAGAAAGAGUAGUUCAAACUGUCAUUGGCAUUAGGUCAUAGGUUGUGUUUAUAGAAUGACUCAACUCCUGCUUUCUAGAAAGAAAAACACUGAAAAUACUGAAAAUGUCCGACCAACUGAUAUCAUCUUACCAUUUAGAGAUAAUUACUUAAAGCUACAAUAUGGGCAAAAUUGGCAUCGAACGUGAGGUAUACAGUACCAGUCAAAGGUUUAGACACACCUACUCAUUCCAGGGUUUCUUUAUUUUUACUAUUUUCUACAUUGUAGAAUAAUAGUGAAAACAUCAAAACUAUGAAAUACAUAACCAAAAUAAGUGCUAAACAAAUCAAAAUAUAUUUAUAUUUGAGAUUCUUCUAAGUAGCCACCCUUUGCCUUGAUGACAGCUUUGCACACUCUUGGCAUUCUCUCAACCAACUUCAUGAGGUAGUCACCUGAAAUGCAUUUUAACUAACAGGUGUGCCUUGUUAAAAGUAAACAUUUGGAAUUUCUUUCCUUUUUAAUCCGUUUGAGCCAAUCAGUUGUGUUGUGACAAGGUACGACGGUUGGUAUACAGGAGAUAGCCCUAUUUGGUAAAAGACCAAAUCCAUAUUAUUGCAAUAACAGCUCAAAUAAGCAAAGAGAAACGACAGUCCAUCGUUACUUUAAGACAUGAAGGUCAGUCAAUACGGAAAAUUUAAAGGAGUUUGAAAGUUUCUUCAAGUGCCGUCGCAAAAAAACAUCAAGCACGGUGAUGAAACUGGCUCUUAUGAGGACCGCCACAGGAAAGGAAGACCAAGAGUUACCUGCAGAGGAUAAGUUCAUUAGAGUUGCCAGCCUCAGAAAUUGCAGCCCAAAUAAAUGCUUCACAGAGUUCAGGUAACAGACACAUCUCAACAUCAACUGUUCAGAGGAGACUGUGUGAAUCAGGCCUUCAUGGUCGAAGAAAAGCAUUCCAGGUGAAGCUGGUUGAGAGAAUUCCAAGCGUGUGGAAAGCUGUCAUCAAGGCAGAGGGUGGAUACUCAAAUGAUAAAAUAUAUUUUGAUUUGUUUAACACUUUUUUGGGUUACUAUAUGAUUCCAUAUGUGUUAUUUCAUAGUUUUGAUGUCUUCACUAUUAUUCUACAAUGUAGAAAAUAGUACAAAUAAAGAAAAACCCUGGAAUGAGUAGGCAUGCCCAAACUUUUGACUGGUACUGUAUAUCUGUCAUUCUCAUUGAAAGCAAGUCUAUGAAGUUGUAUAUCUGUUCUGUGUGUGCUAUUUCUAUGCUGCCCGUUUUUAAGUUUCGUUUUUGCGUCUUUUACUUUCGUUUUUGUACAAAAUACAAUAUUUUUGCUUAUGGAAAAUAUAUUUCACCACUGUUUCGAUGGUACAACAAUUCUCUAAACUAUAAUUGUUUGUUUUGUCACAUAAAUGGAAAUUAGGCAAACUAUUAGAAUUUUAGCAACCAGGAAAAGCAACCUGGUCUCAGAGCAUUUCGUAUUAUUCUGUAAGUAAAUCCAUGUUUGGUAUGGUUACAUAAGACAGAUGGUUACUUAAGGCAAUGAAUGAAAGGAGGGUGGUUUUACGGGGUGGAUAGGUUGUCAUAUAAUUUGAAUGUCUUUUUAGCUACUUUGCAACUACUUAACAUGUUAGUUAUAUCUUCCCGUAACCCUAACCCUUUAAAAGAACUCUGACCCCUAGCCUAGCUAAUGUUAGACUCCUACCCACCUAGGUAGAUUUCGUAACAUAUCAAAAGUUUAGCAAAUUCGUAACCUAUUGUACAUUUUGCAAAACUAACAGAAAUUGUAAUUUGCAAUAUUUCAUACGAAAUGGGUGAUGGACAGCCACAAAUUAAUACAUACUAUACGAAACGUAGCAUAUCGUACUAAAUGGAGUGUCUCGGAUUUACGUAGAGAAUAAUGCGAAAUGCUCUGAGACCAGGUUGGGAAAUGGUGGAGCGAUUUCAGCAUAGAGCAUCUUUAAAUAAAAUUACUUUAAUAUGGCUAUUUAAAUCAGAUAAAUACCAAUGUGGCUCCAACCUACCUCAUUUGUUGAACAAAACACAAUGUACUACAACACUAAUGAGUUCUACAUAAUGUCAUCAUGUAGUCCUAUUAAAAUAAUAAUGUGGCGCAGUGGUCUACUCUGGGUUUGAGCCCAGGCUCUGUCGCAGCCGGCCGCAAACCGAGAGGUCCAUGGGGCGACGCACAAUUGGCCUAUCGUCAUCCGGGUUAGGGAGGGUUUGGCCGGUAGGGAUAUCCUUGUAUCAUCGCGCACUAGCGACUCCUGUGGCGGGCGCAGUGCACGCUGACCAGGUCGCUAAGUGUACGGUGUUUCCUAAGACACAUUGGUGCGGCUGGCUUCCGGGUUGGAUGCGCACUGUGUUAAGAAGCAGUGCGGCUUGGUUGGGUUGUGUUUCGGAGGACGCAUGACUUUCGACCUUCGUAUCUCCCGAGCCCGUAUGGGAGUUGUAGCGAUGAGACAAGACAGUAACUACUAACAAUUGGAUACCAUGAAAUUGGGGAGAAAAAGGGGGUAAAAAAAUACAUUAAAAUAAUAAUGUACUCAUUCUCUAACUGUAUCAUACUGAAUUCAUGUGUCAGCUUUUUUUUUUUAAACACACAGGAAUCUACGUCAACAUAAUGGGAGUAGAUAUUUAAAAAAAGAUGUGGAUAUUUUGGGUUAGAAAAUGUUGGAAGCACCAAAACUAUAUGACAGGUUCUUGGCAAAUCAUUCCAGAUAUAUUUUUUAUUAAUGCGAGUCAGUGGAAGAAUUGUGGUAUUCUGUUGUUUGAAGGUUGUAGAACAUAGGAAUUUGGUGGGAGUUGCAGGGCUUGAGGAAAGAACAGCUAUUUCUUUGGCCCUUCAACCUAUUCCACAUGCUGGAUGGGGCACUCCUCAGACAGAGGGUGGGAGCUUGGCACGGACACAGACGAUUAGCGGAGGGGUUGCCGUGUCAGGUUUGAGGUAUGCUGGGAGGAGUUGGAGAAUUCCCAAUGUAUUUCACAGUGGUCCAAUGAGAUAUAGAGAUGCUAUGCAUAAUUUAUCUAAAGGGAGACCCUCUCUUAGAAAUAAAUGCAUGUGGAAAAAAACAUCCUGGUCUCAAGCAUUCUGCAUAGCUCAUUGUAACAGCAUUGGCGCACACCAAUAACAAUGCCCAAUUUCCAUACAGCCCUGACCUGGGACAAGUGGAACUGCCAGGAAGAAACAGAAACUCCAUGGUCGCCUUGGGCCAUUAGAACAAACUGGACUUCCAGUGGCCCCAAUAACAAAGAAGAUACGAAACAGAUGGCCCAAAGUGGGAAGAGACAGCCCUGAAGAGGAGGACAAAGUGAAGUUGAACAGAUUCUUGACUGGACUGGGAUAUGAUGAGUGUGAAAGGAAGGAUGAGAGAAAGAACACUUGUGAUGGAUGACAAAAUUUGAGUGAGGAGUGAAAAGAAAACAAAAAGAUGGAUGGUCAUAGACAUCUCUCUCUCUCUUGCGAUACAAUUCUAAAAUAAGGGAUUUUAUUGUUUCAAAUAAGGGAACAUUGGUAUGUAUGAGAAUAGAGAUGCAUUUACUCCACAACGUACAUGAAAACGAUAUAAAUUAUUUAAUCUUGUACUAUACUCGUUUUCUAUACAAUUCAUAUGGUAGCUUAAUGUCUUCUCUAAAUGUAUUUUAUACAUUCAGGCUGACAUUUCAAUACUGUGUGUUGAUGGAGCAAACAAUAACUCUUUGAUAUGGUCGUUUCAUCAAAGAAAUAGACAAUAUUCUGGGGUGGAAAUAAAGACUUGGAUUAUCAUUGACAGUGAUUAGAUAGAGUACAUUAGAAAAGGCUGCUUGUUGAAUCUUGCUUUCGUCUAUGGUAAAGUCUGCUCCCAAUUGAACAUGGCUGCUGCAUAAUAACAUUAUUUACAAAUGUCUCGUGAUCCAUUAUGUGAGAGAGAAGUCUACAGUAAGACAAGUCAUGCUCCCAUGAACAAAUGUGAAACAUACACAUAUCGUACACAUAUCGUACAUAUUUCAGAAUUGUACUUGCAGAAUCUAUACAACAUAUUUAGUGUGAUUUAUCUUCUUGUUUUGAGUGUAGGCCUAUAUAGGCUAGGUGUUUGCAAUAUGGACCAUACAUGGAUGACAGAUUGUGGUAUAUAUGUUGUGUGAUUGUGCUGUACAUAACACAUGUUCAUGUAGUGUGUGUACAGACAGUAUGAUUGUACAGGAAGGGAGUUAUGUCUGUAAAUUCCUAUGUCUAUAUGAUGUAAAGUUAUCAUUAUUGGAGAGAGAGGUUCAAGAUCCCUAAAGAUAAAAUACAUUUAAAAAAACUGCUGUCAGAUGUUACGAUGACAUUUCCCUAAGGUAUUUUAAUGUUCCUGUCAAACAUUUGUUAAAAAAACAGUCAAUAUAUAUAUAUUUUUGAUAUAAAUUGAUAUGACUACAAGAUGUGAUUUACUAGAGUCUGCUGUUGCUUGUUCAUCUUCAAGAUAUAUAUUGUUUUUGGUCGGGAUAUAUAUUGUUUUUGGUCUGGUUUGACUAGCUAACAGUGAUUUAGCUUUUCUACACCACUGUUACAUCACUAUGAGGUUAUUUGAUAACAGACAGGCGAAACAAGUGCCACAGGGCUUUGGAAAUCUCACUGGGCAACUAGAGAAGGUAAGUUUCACACAAAAACUUUGGAAAGGAUUAUUAAAUUGGCUUUAAAGCCUUGACACCUACCUGAAAAACAGCAGCAGCUAAUUUCAACUGCUCAAAACUGUCCAUUGUGUAAAUGACAGGAAUGGAGUUAAUCCAAUUUUACAAGACACUAAUCCCACAGAAAGAACGCAAACAAUAGUUAGUUAUCCAGUAUGUACUUCAGCAACGUGAACUAGAGUGUAGUACAACACUAAUGAGUUCUACAUAAUGUCAUCAUGUAGUCCUAUUAAAAUAAUAAUGUACUCAUUCUCUAACUGUAUCAUACUGAAUUCAUGUACCUCUAAAUACUCUAAUCAAGUAGAAUAUAAAUGUGUUGCAACUGAGAGGCAGUAAAGGCUGUCAAUAUGUAUGAUACAUUUGUCGGGCUGGUAACUAAAGACAAAAGAUAGUGAUAUCUGUAUAUUGUAUAUUGUACAAUUUACUGCAAUGGAUGAAAAAUCUCAAUAUGCAUAUUGCAUCAUUAUUCAAAGUUAUUUUUCAAAAUAAAGUUGACAUUUCCUAAGACAUG